This 1049-nucleotide long non-coding RNA is filed under the name Piliocolobus tephrosceles (Ugandan red Colobus). RNAcentral describes it as "lncRNA (ENSPTEG00000016611.1)". Lineage: Eukaryota; Metazoa; Chordata; Mammalia; Primates; Cercopithecidae. The record is from RNAcentral.
UAAAGUUAAGUUAUGAUCUUUUUUUUUUAAUUGAUUGAAGUAUGUUAUUUGUUUUAUUCAUAUCAUUUUGAGAACUCCCUUUUUCGAUAUAAAUAUUUGUUUUAUUAAUUUCGGUAUUGUUAAUACUAGAAUUAUUGUUAAUAGAGAUGUUAGAAUCAAUAUCCUUAUUGUAGUUGUUGUUGUUGUAGUUGUUGUUGUUGUUGUAGUUGUUGUUGUUGUUGUUGUUGUUGUUGUUGUUGUUGUUGUUGUUGUNNNNNNNNNNGUUGUUGUUGUUGUUGUUGUUGUUGUUGUUGUUGUUGUUGUUGUUGUCGAUAUCAGUAUUAGGGUUUGUGAUAAUUCCAGUGCUGUUGUUAGUACUAGUAUUAUUUAUCGUAUCACUGUCAUCGUUUAUGUUUUUUUUUCUGGCAUUCCUCAUUCUUCUCUUCAUCUAUUUUCUCUUUCUCUUUUUCUUUCUCAUCCCCUUUCUCCUUUUCUACAUGUAAUCCCCUUUUCUCUUCACUUGAUCCUAUUUUUCUACUUUAACAUGAACGCAUAUUUUAUCAUUUUUUACUAUAGUAUUAUUUAAACCACUGAAUGCUAUAUUUUCAUUUUUAAUAUUAAUUAACAAAUUUUCAUUUGUUAUGCCCUUUUCACAUUCAGCAUUUUUUUUUAUUUCUUUCACAUUUUCGUUCAUAUUUUCUUUCAUAUUUUCGUUCACAUUUUCGUUCAUAUUUUCGUUCACAUUUUCGUUCAUAUUUUCGUUCACAUUUUCAUUUUCAUUCUCCUUCUCCUUUUCGUUUUCAUUUCCCUUUUUAUUUUCUUUCUCAUUUACAUUUCCAUUUUUAUUUUCAUUAUCUUUUUCGUUUUCAUUUUCAUUCUCGUUUUCAUUCUCCUUUUCAUUUUCAUUCUCCAAUUUUUUUAAUUUACGUUUUGGAGUUCUUUUUUUUGAAGCCGUAGUAGUAAUAUCUGAAAAAUCUUUUUUUCUUUUUUUUUUUUCUUUUUUUAUUUGUUUCUUUAAUAUAUAAUGAGAGUUUUUUAAAUAAAAUAAAUAAAUAAAAAAAGUAUAUUCA